ACGAUCAGCUAUGAGUCAUAAGCUCAAUAGAGUAUAAUCAUCAUAACACAUUAAUAGCAUUGGUAGAAUGCCAAUAACAUUCAUGGGCUCUAGACCCAACAGAACAGAGAAAUCUCAUCAAACUGCAUACCUUCUUCCCCCACUCAUUUGCUCGGUCAAUGAGAUAAGAAUAUUCCAUAUCUUCACAACAUUUCUGUAAAGAAGAAAGAGGCUCAUUGAAGUAAACAGGAAGACAGACUUU
Rhodamnia argentea is the source of this 241-nucleotide long non-coding RNA. RefSeq lists it as uncharacterized. The transcript has 3 exons. The record is from RefSeq and is a predicted model, not a curated record. NCBI's taxonomy places the organism in Eukaryota, Viridiplantae, Streptophyta, Magnoliopsida, Myrtales, Myrtaceae.